ACGAACGCUGGCGGCGUGCUUAACACAUGCCAGUCGCACGCUGAAGCUCAGCUUGCUGGGUGGAUGAGUGGCGAACGGGUGAGUAACACGUGAGUAACCUGCCCUCUUCUUUGGGAUAACGCCCGGAAACGGGUGCUAAUACUGGAUAUUCACUGAUUCUCGCAUGGGGGUUGGUGGAAAGGUUUUUUCUGGUGGGGGAUGGGCUCGCGGCCUAUCAGCUUGUUGGUGGGGUGAUGGCCUACCAAGGCUUUGACGGGUAGCCGGCCUGAGAGGGUGACCGGUCACAUUGGGACUGAGAUACGGCCCAGACUCCUACGGGAGGCAGCAGUGGGGAAUAUUGCACAAUGGGCGAAAGCCUGAUGCAGCGACGCCGCGUGAGGGAUGGAGGCCUUCGGGUUGUAAACCUCUUUCGCUCAUGGUCAAGCCGCAGCGUUGGGUUGUGGUGAGGGUAGUGGGUAAAGAAGCGCCGGCUAACUACGUG
RNAcentral lists this ribosomal RNA (481 nucleotides) under uncultured bacterium. RNAcentral's name for it is "partial 16S ribosomal RNA". It matches the Rfam family "Bacterial small subunit ribosomal RNA", at positions 29 to 507 of the family's 1533-position model. The record is from RNAcentral.